Molecule: long non-coding RNA, 331 nt
Organism: Brassica oleracea var. oleracea
Lineage: Eukaryota; Viridiplantae; Streptophyta; Magnoliopsida; Brassicales; Brassicaceae
Exons: 3
Source: RefSeq, a predicted model, not a curated record
UCCUCUCUGUCGCGGUAAGAGUCGAAUUCAGCAUAUGCACAUACUUCGUCUCCUCAUUGCUCUGCAUUAAACCCUCAUAUAAGAAGUUACACAAGAUCAAAUAUCUUUGCUAAUGAAAGUCUGUACAGUUGGAACACGACACAAGCUCUCUGUAAGUACCAGACGCAGGAAACCAACCUUCCAAAUCAUAUUUUUUCGCAGCUGCAUCGUUCAAUGCUCCAGACACAAUCUCCACCACUCGAUGGAAAUUACCGCUUGGUAAAACUCUUCAGAGUUCUUCAUCAUCUCCUCAAGCAUCUCCCACGAUUUGUUCUCGUCAGGACUGGUGACG